CAGUAGCCGCGGGAAUACAGAGGUCUCAAGCGUUGUUCGGAUUCAUUGGGCGUAAAGGGAGCGUAGGCGGUCGGGUAAGUUGGAUGUGAAAUCCUGGGGCUCAACCUCAGAACUGCAUUCAAUACUGCUUGGCUAGAGUACUGGAGAGGUGAGUGGAAUUCACGGUGUAGCAGUGAAAUGCGUAGAUAUCGUGAGGAAGACCAGCGGCGAAGGCGGCUCACUGGACAGUUACUGACGCUGAUGCUCGAAGGCCAGGGGAGCAAACAGGAUUAGAUACCCCUGUAGUCCCUGUCUCUUAUAC
RNAcentral lists this ribosomal RNA (301 nucleotides) under uncultured bacterium. Its description in RNAcentral is "partial 16S ribosomal RNA". It matches the Rfam family "Bacterial small subunit ribosomal RNA", at positions 509 to 807 of the family's 1533-position model. The record is from RNAcentral.